GAUGAACGCUGGCGGCGUGCCUAAUACAUGCAAGUCGAGCGAACGGACGAGAAGCUUGCUUCUCUGAUGUUAGCGGCGGACGGGUGAGUAACGCGUGGAUAACCUCCCUAUCAGACUGGGAUCACUUCGGAAAACCGUAGCUAAUCCCGGAUAAUCUUUUGAACCGCGUGGUUCAAAAGUGAAAUACGGUCUUGCUGUCUCGUCUAGAUGCAUCCGGGCUUCAUUGGCUAGUUGUUAAGGUAACGGCCUAUCAAGGCAACGCGGCAUGGCCGACCGGACGGGCUGGUCGGCAACACUGGAGGUGGGACGGGGUCCAUGCUACUAAGGGAGGCAGCAGUAGGGAACCGGACGCAAUGGUCGGAAGCCUGACGGAGCAACGCCGCGUGAGUGAUGAAGGUCUCCGGAUCGUAAAACUCGGUUAUUAGGGAAGAACAUAUGUGUAAGGAACUGUGCACAUCUUGACGGUACCGAAUCAGAAAGCAACGGCUAACUACGUG
This 497-nucleotide ribosomal RNA is filed under the name uncultured bacterium. RNAcentral describes it as "partial 16S ribosomal RNA". It matches the Rfam family "Bacterial small subunit ribosomal RNA", at positions 28 to 507 of the family's 1533-position model. The record is from RNAcentral.